UACUGGGCGUAAAGCGCAUGCAGGUGGUUUGUUAAGUCAGAUGUGAAAGCCCGGGGCUCAACCUCGGAAUUGCAUUUGAAACUGGCAGACUAGAGUACUGUAGAGGGGGGUAGAAUUUCAGGUGUAGCGGUGAAAUGCGUAGAGAUCUGAAGGAAUACCGGUGGCGAAGGCGGCCCCCUGGACAGAUACUGACACUCAGAUGCGAAAGCGUGGGGAGCAAACAGGAUUAGAUACCCUGGUAGUCCACGCCGUAAACGAUGUCUACUUGGAGGUUGUGGCCUUGAGCCGUGGCUUUCGGAGCUAACGCGUUAAGUAGACCGCCUGGGGAGUACGGUCGCAAGAUUAAAACUCAAAUGAAUUGACGGGGGCCCGCACAAGCGGUGGAGCAUGUGGUUUAAUUCGAUGCAACGCGAAGAACCUUACCUACUCUUGACAUCCAGAGAACUUUCCAGAGAUGGAUUGGUGCCUUCGGGAACUCUGAGACAGGUGCUGCAUGGCUGUCGUCAGCUCGUGUUGUGAAAUGUUGGGUUAAGUCCCGCAACGAG
RNAcentral lists this ribosomal RNA (545 nucleotides) under Vibrio parahaemolyticus. RNAcentral describes it as "bacterial SSU rRNA". It matches the Rfam family "Bacterial small subunit ribosomal RNA", at positions 552 to 1096 of the family's 1533-position model. The record is from RNAcentral. Lineage: Bacteria; Pseudomonadati; Pseudomonadota; Gammaproteobacteria; Vibrionales; Vibrionaceae.